RNAcentral lists this ribosomal RNA (518 nucleotides) under uncultured bacterium. RNAcentral describes it as "bacterial SSU rRNA". It matches the Rfam family "Bacterial small subunit ribosomal RNA", at positions 8 to 518 of the family's 1533-position model. The record is from RNAcentral.
AGAGUUUGAUUCUGGCUCAGGAUGAACGCUAGCGACAGGCUUAACACAUGCAAGUCGAGGGGCAGCAUAAAAGUAGCAAUACUUUGGUGGCGACCGGCGCACGGGUGAGUAACGCGUAUGCAACCUACCUAUCAGAGGGGAAUAACCCGGCGAAAGUCGGACUAAUACCGCAUAAAACAGGGGCACCGCAUGGUGAUAUUUGUUAAAGAAAUUCGCUGAUAGAUGGGCAUGCGUUCCAUUAGGUAGUUGGUGAGGUAACGGCUCACCAAGCCGACGAUGGAUAGGGGAACUGAGAGGUUGGUCCCCCACACUGGUACUGAGACACGGACCAGACUCCUACGGGAGGCAGCAGUGAGGAAUAUUGGUCAAUGGGCGGGAGCCUGAACCAGCCAAGUCGCGUGAAGGAAGAAGGAUCUAUGGUUCGUAAACUUCUUUUGCAGGGGAAUAAAGUGCAGGACGUGUCCUGUUUUGUAUGUACCCUGAGAAUAAGGAUCGGCUAACUCCGUGCCAGCCGCAGC